UUCUCAAGACGUACUAAUUGACUUUCCAUCAAAAUAUCAAUCUUAAUUGUUUCAAGUCUCAAGUAGAGCCAAAUAAAAAUUCUUAAGUCUCAUCCCCAAGUAUUUUCCUUCUAUAUACGAGUUCCAUGCAUGAUCCACAUACAGAUUUCAAUAAAUAUUUUCUAGUCCAAGCUUUAAACAUCUUUUUAUAGAUGAAUCUUAAUUUGCCAC
This 210-nucleotide long non-coding RNA is filed under the name Phoenix dactylifera (date palm). RNAcentral's name for it is "long non-coding RNA (PDAC_LNC004629)". The record is from RNAcentral. Lineage: Eukaryota; Viridiplantae; Streptophyta; Magnoliopsida; Arecales; Arecaceae.